RNAcentral lists this ribosomal RNA (2302 nucleotides) under human gut metagenome. RNAcentral's name for it is "bacterial LSU rRNA". It matches the Rfam family "Bacterial large subunit ribosomal RNA", at positions 1 to 2300 of the family's 2925-position model. The record is from RNAcentral.
CUAAGAUAGUAAGAGCAUACGGUGGAUGCCUUGGCGAUAUCUGCCGAUGAAGGACGCGACAAGCUGCGAAAAGCUGCGGAGAGGUGCAAAUGACCAUUGACCCGCAGAUCUCCGAAUGGAGCAAUCCGGCAGGGUUUAUCCCCUGUCACCCAUAUCUUCGAAUAUGGGAGGGAACCGGGCGAACUGAAACAUCUAAGUAGCCCGAGGAAGAGUAAUCAAACGAGAUACCCCAAGUAGCGGCGAGCGAACGGGGCCUAAGCCCAAACCGGUGAAGGAAACUUUGCCGGGGUUGAGGACUGCCAUACGAACUAGCCCAUUAGCCGAAAUUCCUGGGAAGGAAUGCCGAAGAAUGUGAAAGCCAUGUAAGCGAAAAUGGAAAAGGGACAGGCAGCACCAGAGUACCGCGGGACACGAGAAACCCCGUGGGAAGCCGGGGGGACCACCCUCCAAGGCAAAACACAGAUAUCGACCGAUAGCGCAUAGUACCAUGAGGGAAAGGUGAAAAGCACCCCGGGAGGGGAAUGAAAGAGAACCUGAAACCGUAUGUUUACAAGCAGUCGAAGACCGCUUAAUAAUAAGGUCAACGGCGUGCCUAUUGAAGAAUGAACCGGCGAGUUAUGAGGUCCAGCAAGGUUAAGCAGGAAAUGCGGAGCCGAAGCGAAAGCGAGUCUUAAUAGGGCGACAAGUUGGAUUGCAUAGACCCGAAACCACAGUGAUCUACCCAUGUCCAGGCUGAAGCACAGGUAAAAAUGUGUGGAGGGCCGAACCUAUAUCCGUUGAAAAGGGUUAGGAUGAGGUGUGGGUAGGGGUGAAAUUCCAAUCGAACGUGGAGAUAGCUGGUUCUCCCCGAAAUAGCUUUAGGGCUAGCCUCGAGGUAGAGAUUGCAGGCGGUAGAGCACUGAUCAGGAGAGGGGCCUACCCGGCUACCAAACCCAGUCAAACUACGAAUGGCUGCAAUUAUACUCGGGAGUCAGACUACGACUUAUAAGGGCCGUGGUCAAAAGGGAAACAGCCCAGAUCAUCAGCUAAGGUCCCAAAUGCCGUGCUAAGUGGCGAAGGAUGUGGCGUUUCAUAAACAACCAGGAUGUUGGCUCAGAAGCAGCCACCAUUUAAAGAGUGCGUAAUAGCUCACUGGUCGAGAGACGCUGCGCCGAAAAUGUCCGGGGCUCAAGCACGGAACCGAAGCUAUGGCAUGAUAGCAAUAUCAUGGGUAGGGGAGCGUUCUUAACAGGAAGAAGCAUGACCGGAAGGACAUGUGGACCGUUAAGAAGUGAGAAUGCCGGUAUGAGUAUCGAAAAGAAAGGUGAGAAUCCUUUCCACCGAAAGCCCGAGGGUUCCUGAGCAACGAUCGUCGUCUCAGGGUAAGUCGGGACCUAAGCCGAGGCGGAGACGCAUAGGCGAUGGACAACAGGUUGAAAUUCCUGUACCGGAUACAAUCGUUUGAGCGAUGGAGCGACGCAGAAAGGCAUAUGAUCGCGCGACUGGAAGAGCGCGUCCAAGUGCGUAUGUUGAAUCGGAGGCAAAUCCCUGAUUCUGAAAGCAGAGACACGAUGGGGAGUUAUACGAAAGUAUGACGAACUCAUAGAUCCUACACUGCCAAGAAAAACUUCUAGUGAGAAAGUAUCCGCCCGUACCGUAAACCGACACAGGUAGGCGGGGAGAGAAUCCUAAGGUGCGCGGGAAAACCCUCGUUAAGGAACUCGGCAAAUUGCAUCCGUAACUUAGGGAGAAGGAUGACCUUAAGUAAGCGAAAGGGAGAAACCCCUGGAACAGAACAAGGUGGCAGAAAAGAGGCCCAAGCAACUGUUUACCAAAAACACAGGUGCCUGCGAAAGCGAAAGCUGAAGUAUAGGUGCUGACGCCUGCCCGGUGCUGGAAGGUUAAGGAGAGAUGUCAGAGCAAUCGAAGCAUUGAACUGAAGCCCCAGUGAACGGCGGCCGUAACUAUAACGGUCCUAAGGUAGCGAAAUUCCUUGUCGGGUAAGUUCCGACCCGCAUGAAAGGCGUAAUGAUUUGGGCGCUGUCUCAACGAGGGGCCCGGUGAAAUUGAAAUACCUGUGAAGAUGCAGGUUACCCGCGACUGGACAGAAAGACCCCAUGGAGCUUCACUGCAGCUUGAGAUUGAAUCUCGGUGAUGCAUGCACAGGAUAGGUGGGAGACUUUGAAGUAUGGGCUUUGGCUUAUACCGAGUCGAUGUUGGGAUACCACCCUUGUAUUGCUGAGAUUCUAACACGGAGGCUAACAACCUCGUGGACCAUCUCAGGUAGGCGGUUUGACUGGGGCGGUCGCCUCCGAAAGAGUAA